Cercocebus atys (sooty mangabey) is the source of this 855-nucleotide long non-coding RNA. RefSeq lists it as uncharacterized. The transcript is spliced from 3 exons. NCBI's taxonomy places the organism in Eukaryota, Metazoa, Chordata, Mammalia, Primates, Cercopithecidae. The record is from RefSeq and is a predicted model, not a curated record.
AAGACCCAGAAGGGGCUUCUCUUAUUUUAUGGUGUUGUGGUUUUUCUUUUUCUAGUUGAUGAAAUGCGAGGGUGAAAGGGAUAGCCAAUUGGGCAACAGUGCAAGUGCCAUUCCAGUUACUUGGCAGAGUGUCCAGUAAGGGUCCACCACAAUACCACCAUACAUUUGCUGGAGGAUGAACAGGGGCAGACUGACUGGUUGAAGCAGAGGUGUUCUGUUUCCGGCAAAGCCAAUAGCAAGCUAACAAUUGCUUCCAGAAAGGAGUAUAAGCUUUGCUGGCCUCUGGCAGUUUCUGGGUCCAAAACCCAAGAGACUAUGGAGGAUUCACCACCAGAGUGAGAAGCAACAGCCUGGGCUCCAGAGUCAGAUCUUACACUCACCAAACUAUGGAGGAUUCACGACCAGACUGAGAAGCAACAGCUUUGGCUCCAGAUUCAGCCACCCGUCCGGACACAGAUGAGGAGAGGUCUCAUGAAGCUUCCGCGUGUCUGGGACACUAGCUCUUGUUGUAAUGAGUUGUUUACCAUAAGGCCAAGUCACAAAGGUCCUUGGCGACUGGGCCCAAGGAACACAAUAAGGUCAACUUGUUUUUUUUGCAAUUGUCUAUCGUUUUUCAAUAACUAAAGUAUAAAAAUAGAUUGAAAUAGAGAUUUCUCCAUAACAGAGUUGGAUGAUCGUCUCAAGGGGCUCACACAACCUGUUCUAGGACUUGGUGACCAUUGUUUGUGUCCACGUUCAAUUGAGUUCAAAUUUAAUAUUUAACUUUUCCUCCACAAAUUCUCCUGUCUUGAUGAAUUGGCUCUGUCUAGGCAAAGGGCAACGUGAGCCCCUUGAGCUGUUACACAACCUCUGCCU